CCAGUUUGACUUAACUGGAGAGGGGCUAGUGAGGAAUAAUGUGAAAUAAGCCUAGAAAGAGAGGCUGGAGCCAGGGUGUAAAGGGCUUUAAAUGCUAAGUAGAAGAGGGUUUAUUUGAUCCUAGAGGCAAUAGUGAGUCAUAGAAGCUUCUGGAGCAGGAAAAAUGACACGAUCAGCUCUGCGCUUUAGCUUGAUCAAUUCAUCAGCCAUAUGGAAGAAUAGAUUAGAUAGAGGAGAGAUUGGAAGUGAAGAGAUCCAGGGAGACCCUAUGGCAAUAGUAAAGGAGAAAAGUUGUAAGGGUUUGCACUAGAGGAAUUAUAGUGUGAAUGAAGAGAAGACAAAGGAUGUGAGAAGAAAAUUGGUUGAGAAGGAGCUCAUAGAGCCUCUCUCUUCUCAAUAAUUUAUGGGAUGAAGUUGGAUUGGACAGGUUGGAGAAGAAAGGGGGGAACUAUGAAAGGAUCAGGGAGAGAAGAGAAGUUUGAGAAGUUUAGAAGAGAUUGAGAAAAGAAGGCUAUAGAGAGACAGAGGCUCACGUAGAGAGGAGUACAGGGACUGUUCUGUUGUGUGAGGGGCCGGUCGAGGUUAGGGAACGUGAUGAGUAGUGGAUCCAGCUGCCUCAGGGAUAGGACUUUCUUAGCUCUGUUCAGCAGUUGGAGUUUAGUGGGAGAAGAGGGGAACGGUGGGGGUUUGGUGAGGUAUGAACAUUGACAGGACAAGGGAGCAAGGGAUUCGAAAGCAUCAGGCCGACCACCCGUGACCUCAAGAAUGGUAAGCCGGAAAAGAGAAGCCGGAAAAGGAGUGAUAGUAAGAGGGCCUGCAUCUGCUGGAGAAGAGGAAGAUAGAUUCAGGAGGAAUGAGGGACAAAGAGAGAGAGAUGCUAAGGGGAAAGAUGGUCUAACCCUGAGGGAUUUCAGAAUUCUCCAUCCUGAAAGUCAACCACUUGUGUAAUCACAGUCGUGGGAUCAGUGCUGUGUGACUUUGGACAAGUCACUUCACUUCCUUCGACAUCAGUUUCCUGGCUUCUCCUCCCUGUUGAAUGCUUUGCGGGAGAAGGAAACAGCUGGCCAGCUGCCGCUGGGAUAAAUCAAGGACGAUGCCGCAAUCCCCCCCCACACACACACUCAGAGUCUAGGCUCACUAAAUACUGGAGCCGGGAAGGACUCGAGAACAGAGGACGUCCAAGGACCGGGACCUAGAGCCCAGCCCGUCAGAGACGGGGACAUCAGGAGAUCCGGCGUGUGCCUCGGCGGCACAUCUACCAGACUAGGAUAUGAAAGGUCAGAGGCGGACGUGCAUCCCUUCGUUUUACAGUUGGGGAAACUGAGGCCCCAUGGGAUGGAAGGGCUUGUCCCCUCCGAGUAGUACGUUGCUGUGGGAAGGCUCCAAACCCCGCCCCUCGGCUCCCCGCUCCCCGCUCCCGCCGCCCAGCCCUCGGGCCGCUCCGCGACCUACCCACAGCCCCACGGCGAGGAGCACCGCGAAGUAGACGGCGAUGACGGAGAUGUCGGCGGCGUUCCUGAUGCGCUCGGACGGCAGCGGGGGCGCGGGGCCGGCCAUGGCAGAAGCGGCCGUCGGGGGCCGUCGGGGGCCGUCGGGGGCUCGCUGCCCGCUUCUUUGCGGCGCCCGGGCCGCCGCUCCGUCCGCCCGCCGCGUUAAUGAUCAGCCCCGGGCGGCCCAGGGGAGGGCGGAGAGGCGGAGGGCUCAGAGGAGGCCGGGCCGAGGAGGAAGAGGAGGCAGAAGCCGGAGCGGGAGAGGAAGG
This 1759-nucleotide long non-coding RNA is filed under the name Sarcophilus harrisii (Tasmanian devil). Its description in RNAcentral is "lncRNA (ENSSHAG00000023939.1)". The record is from RNAcentral. Lineage: Eukaryota; Metazoa; Chordata; Mammalia; Dasyuromorphia; Dasyuridae.